Molecule: ribosomal RNA, 329 nt
Filed under: uncultured eukaryote
Lineage: Eukaryota
Description: partial 18S ribosomal RNA
Rfam family: Eukaryotic small subunit ribosomal RNA
Source: RNAcentral
CCCUUAGAUGUCCUGGGCCGCACGCGCGCUACACUGAGUGUCUGAGAUACGAGUCUGCCUGGUCCGGCAAGGUCUAGGUAAUCGCUAAAAGACACAUCAUGCUUGGGAUAGAUUAUUGCAAAUAUUAAUCUUGAACGAGGAAUUCCUAGUAAGCGCAAGUCAACAGCUUGCGUUGAUUACGUCCCGGCCCUUUGUACACACCGCCCGUCGCUACUACUGAUUGGAUGUUUAAGCGAGGUUCUCGAACUGCUAGCGACUUAGCUUCGGUGAGGUCGCAGUGUGGGAAGUGAACCUAGCUUUGGUGUCUAGAGGAAGUAAAAGUCGUAACA